CAAAUACUGAUUGCCAACUUUUGGGAAAAGUUCACUAUCUUUGAUAAAAUCCCAAUAACCAUACUUGCAGAGGCAAACGUAGGUAAAACAUCUUGUUUGCUAAAAAAUAAGAGGAAUAUAUAGGAGGUGAUUCAAUUUUUGAUUACAAGUGGGACGCAUUCAAGGACACAGUAACUACAGACUUUUGCAAUCUUACUUCACAGAACUGUCUUCCAGUAAUUAAUAUUCUGCAAGCACAUUGAUAGCUGGGGAGCUGAAACAAAAAAUUAAUCAAAAGAAAGAAUCAGUCCAACAUUUAUAAUUACAGAUUGUACAUAGAUACUUCAUCUUUUAUUUUAUUUGAAUAUUAACUACUUACCUAAUAAUUAUCUGAUAUUUGUUUAUUGCAA
Odontomachus brunneus is the source of this 389-nucleotide long non-coding RNA. RefSeq lists it as uncharacterized. The record is from RefSeq and is a predicted model, not a curated record. Lineage: Eukaryota; Metazoa; Arthropoda; Insecta; Hymenoptera; Formicidae. The transcript is spliced from 2 exons.